Camelina sativa (false flax) is the source of this 459-nucleotide non-coding RNA. The record is from RefSeq and is a predicted model, not a curated record. Lineage: Eukaryota; Viridiplantae; Streptophyta; Magnoliopsida; Brassicales; Brassicaceae.
UCUCUUUGUGAAACCUUCUUUCAAGGAUCUCUUGCUGAAUUCGUAUAAAGCUGCUUUCAACGAAGUUGACUUUCUCACCAAGGGCAUAUCUAUGCUAUUGAGAUGAAUGAAAUCCUCCUCCUUGAUCUGAACUUUGAAUAUUUCAAGAUGAAACAGAGACAAAAAAAGAAAAGAAAACAAACUUGUCCUGAAGACGUAGAGUAUAUAUAUAGAUUCUCAAAAGCUGGCUCAACAAAGAUUAGAUUGCUUCUUCAAAUCUUGUAGAGAAUAUUGCAGUGGACUUAAUUUCUCAGAGCUUUAAAGCCUUUAUCAACCUUUGCUUGGUUUGAACAGAUUCUUCUCUCUGUAUUAUUAUUAUGGCUUCUUUCUUUCUUUGGGUCUCCUCUUAAUAAUAUUCUUCUUCAACAACUUUUCUUGGCUUUGUAAAUUAAAUUAGAAGAACUAUUAAUUGAUGAUUCA